AAAGAUAAAAAAUGCAAAAAAUUGUGAUAUUAAUUGCAGGAUAAGGUAAGCAAUCAAGGAAGGAAGCUGGUGAGAGCAGACAACAAACUCUCAUUUCUCCUAGUCUAUAAGAACUUCAUGAGAUUAGAGCAUGUUGUUGUCUUUACAGUUCCCCGAUGUAGCGGAAACGUGAUUAGGGAUAGUCUCGCUUCCUGAAUGG
This 199-nucleotide long non-coding RNA is filed under the name Prunus persica (peach). RNAcentral describes it as "long non-coding RNA (PPER_LNC004871)". Lineage: Eukaryota; Viridiplantae; Streptophyta; Magnoliopsida; Rosales; Rosaceae. The record is from RNAcentral.